Molecule: ribosomal RNA, 880 nt
Filed under: uncultured bacterium
Lineage: Bacteria
Description: bacterial SSU rRNA
Rfam family: Bacterial small subunit ribosomal RNA
Source: RNAcentral
GUUUGAUCAUGGCUCAGAUUGAACGCUGGCGGAAUGCUUUACACAUGCAAGUCGAACGGCAGCACGGGUGCUUGCACCUGGUGGCGAGUGGCGAACGGGUGAGUAAUGCGUCGGAACGUACCGAGUAAUGGGGGAUAACGUGGCGAAAGUCACGCUAAUACCGCAUACGCCCCGAGGGGGAAAGCAGGGGAUCGCAAGACCUUGCGUUAUUCGAGCGGCCGACGUCUGAUUAGCUAGUUGGUAGGGUAAAGGCCUACCAAGGCGACGAUCAGUAGCGGGUCUGAGAGGAUGAUCCGCCACACUGGGACUGAGACACGGCCCAGACUCCUACGGGAGGCAGCAGUGGGGAAUUUUGGACAAUGGGGGCAACCCUGAUCCAGCCAUUCCGCGUGAGUGAAGAAGGCCUUCGGGUUGUAAAGCUCUUUCAGCCGGAAAGAAACGGUACGCUCUAACAUAGCGUGCUAAUGACGGUACCGGCAGAAGAAGCACCGGCUAACUACGUGCCAGCAGCCGCGGUAAUACGUAGGGUGCGAGCGUUAAUCGGAAUUACUGGGCGUAAAGCGUGCGCAGGCGGAUUAUUAAGCAAGACGUGAAAGCCCCGGGCUUAACCUGGGAAUGGCGUUUUGAACUGGUAGUCUAGAGUGUGUCAGAGGGGGGUGGAAUUCCACGUGUAGCAGUGAAAUGCGUAGAUAUGUGGAGGAACACCAAUGGCGAAGGCAGCCCCCUGGGAUAACACUGACGCUCAUGUACGAAAGCGUGGGUAGCAAACAGGAUUAGAUACCCUGGUAGUCCACGCCCUAAACGAUGUCAACUGGGUGUUGGGGGAGUGAAAUCCCUUAGUAACGAAGCUAACGCGUGAAGUUGACCGCCUGGGGAGUAC